This 433-nucleotide ribosomal RNA is filed under the name uncultured Adlercreutzia sp. Its description in RNAcentral is "partial 16S ribosomal RNA". It matches the Rfam family "Bacterial small subunit ribosomal RNA", at positions 341 to 792 of the family's 1533-position model. Lineage: Bacteria; Bacillati; Actinomycetota; Coriobacteriia; Eggerthellales; Eggerthellaceae. The record is from RNAcentral.
ACGGGAGGCAGCAGUGGGGAAUUUUGCGCAAUGGGGGAAACCCUGACGCAGCAACGCCGCGUGCGGGAUGGAGGCCUUCGGGCUGUGAACCGCUUUCAGCAGGGAAGACAUCGACGGUACCUGCAGAAGAAGCCCCGGCUAACUACGUGCCAGCAGCCGCGGUAAUACGUAGGGGGCGAGCGUUAUCCGGAUUCAUUGGGCGUAAAGCGCGCGUAGGCGGCUGCCUAAGCGUAGUUUCUAACCUUGGGGCUCAACAGCAAGCCGGACGCCGAACUGGGCGGCUCGAGUGCGGUAGGGGCAGGCGGAAUUCCACGUGUAGCGGUGAAAUGCGCAGAUAUGUGGAGGAACACCGAUGGCGAAGGCAGCCUGCUGGGCCGCCACUGACGCUGAGGCGCGAAAGCUAGGGGAGCGAACAGGAUUAGAUACCCUGGUA